Molecule: ribosomal RNA, 486 nt
Filed under: uncultured Lactobacillales bacterium
Lineage: Bacteria; Bacillati; Bacillota; Bacilli; Lactobacillales
Description: partial 16S ribosomal RNA
Source: RNAcentral
CACGUAGUUAGCCGCGACUUUCUGGUUGGAUACCGUCACUGCGUGAACAGUUACUCUCACGCACGUUCUUCUCCAACAACAGAGCUUUACGAGCCGAAACCCUUCUUCACUCACGCGGUGUUGCUCCAUCAGGCUUGCGCCCAUUGUGGAAGAUUCCCUACUGCUGCCUCCCGUAGGAGUAUGGACCGUGUCUCAGUUCCAUUGUGGCCGAUCAGUCUCUCAACUCGGCUAUGCAUCAUCGCCUUGGUAAGCCGUUACCUUACCAACUAGCUAAUGCACCGCAGGUCCAUCCCGGAGUGAUAGCCAAAGCCAUCUUCAAACAAAAGCCAAUGUGCUUUGUGUAUGCGGUAUAGCAUCUGUUCCAAAUGUUACUCCCCCGCUCCGGGCACGGUUACCUACGUGUUACGUCACCCGUUCCGCCACUCCACGUGGUAGAUCCAAACGCAACUCAAGUGACAAGCACCAUCAAUCAGUUGGGCCUAGUCG